UACGUAGGGGGCGAGCGUUAUCCGGAAUUACUGGGCGUAAAGCGCACGCAGGCGGUUCGCCAAGUUUGGAGUGACAGUUGUCGGCUCAACCGACAAAGGACUUCAAAAACUGGUGAACUUGAGGACGAGAGAGGAACAUGGAACUCCAGGUGUAGUAGUGAAAUGCGUAGAUAUCUGGAAGAACACCAAUGGCGAAGGCAAUGUUCUGGCUCGUUUCUGACGCUCAGGUGGCGAAAAGCCAGGGGAGCGAACGGG
RNAcentral lists this ribosomal RNA (255 nucleotides) under uncultured bacterium. Its description in RNAcentral is "partial 16S ribosomal RNA". It matches the Rfam family "Bacterial small subunit ribosomal RNA", at positions 524 to 776 of the family's 1533-position model. The record is from RNAcentral.